Molecule: non-coding RNA, 575 nt
Filed under: Pongo abelii (Sumatran orangutan)
Lineage: Eukaryota; Metazoa; Chordata; Mammalia; Primates; Hominidae
Source: RNAcentral
GUUCCCGCCGGGGCCCGGGGCGCCCUGAAAUGGGGUCCACGCCAGCCCCCUCCCGAGCGUGUCCUCAGGUCUAAGGACGGCGCUGUGAACAAUGGAACCAUCAAAAAGGCCUUCUCCCAGCCGCCUCACCAACCACGGACAUUCCUGGCCCAACAAGCCCUCCUGGCCUGGUUUUGAGCCCUGCUUCCCAGAUCUGGGGACCCUUCACCUGCCUCUACUACUGCAAAUGAUUGGAUAUUCGUCUGCCUUGGCUCUUCCCUAAUGUGUGGAACUAAUUUUGUUCACUCUGUUUCAUGCUGGACCUGGCCUGAAAAUGGGCCCUUACAUUGUCUUUGCACUUUCCAACUUGCCAAGUUUCUGAAAGAAGGACCAAAGUAAUGCCAAGAACUCCCAGAUGAAGAGGACCUUCCUUAGACCUAUAACAGAUUCACUACUUGACUUCAGAGGGACGUUUCAGCUAAUUCUCAGGAAAAGGUCAAAACAGGCCUGUGACUGUCCCUCGAAUACUGAAGGUAUAAACAAGCUUCUGGCUCCUCCAGGUCAAGCAGAGGAACACUUUUAUUAGAAUGAAGGGU